Molecule: ribosomal RNA, 427 nt
Filed under: Psychrobacter proteolyticus
Lineage: Bacteria; Pseudomonadati; Pseudomonadota; Gammaproteobacteria; Moraxellales; Moraxellaceae
Description: bacterial SSU rRNA
Rfam family: Bacterial small subunit ribosomal RNA
Source: RNAcentral
AGUGGGGAAUAUUGGACAAUGGGGGCAACCCUGAUCCAGCCAUGCCGCGUGUGUGAAGAAGGCCUUUUGGUUGUAAAGCACUUUAAGCAGUGAAGAAGACCAUAUGGUUAAUACCCAUAUGCGAUGACAUUAGCUGCAGAAUAAGCACCGGCUAACUCUGUGCCAGCAGCCGCGGUAAUACAGAGGGUGCAAGCGUUAAUCGGAAUUACUGGGCGUAAAGCGAGCGUAGGUGGCUUGAUAAGUCAGAUGUGAAAUCCCCGGGCUUAACCUGGGAACUGCAUCUGAUACUGUCAGGCUAGAAUAGGUGAGAGGAAGGUAGAAUUCCAGGUGUAGCGGUGAAAUGCGUAGAGAUCUGGAGGAAUACCGAUGGCGAAGGCAGCCUUCUGGCAUCAUAUUGACACUGAGGUUCGAAAGCGUGGGUAGCAAA